UACGGAGGGGGCUAGCGUUGUUCGGAAUUACUGGGCGUAAAGCGCACGUAGGCGGCUUUGUAAGUUAGAGGUGAAAGCCCGGGGCUCAACUCCGGAAUUGCCUUUAAGACUGCAUCGCUAGAACGUCGGGAGAGGUAAGUGGAAUUCCGAGUGUAGAGGUGAAAUUCGUAGAUAUCGGAAGAACACCAGUGGCGAAGGCGACUUACUGGACGACCGUUGAACGCUGAGGUGGCGAAAGCGUGGGGAGCAAACACGG
RNAcentral lists this ribosomal RNA (256 nucleotides) under uncultured bacterium. Its description in RNAcentral is "partial 16S ribosomal RNA". It matches the Rfam family "Bacterial small subunit ribosomal RNA", at positions 524 to 777 of the family's 1533-position model. The record is from RNAcentral.